CUCAAUAUGUAUUUCAUAACAUAAAUAUUCAUUUCAUUUAAAUAAUCAACAUGGCUUAUGAGUAUCUUAAAAGCUUGGCACCUGCCAAAAUCAUUCUCGGGAAUACCUUGGCCAAGGCAUUUGACCGAGUUUGCCAAGGGUGUUAAAAAGUUUUGUAUACACAUAAACAUAUUUUUAAUUUGAAAAACACAGCCGUUCCUUGGCUUUAGCAGAGUUUAUCAUCACGAGGUGGUUCGGCGUGACGUGAACUCUAACCAUACCUCAGAAGAUACCCUACAUGCCUUUCCAACCGAGGUACAUAUAUAAUCGAAUUUCGUGCCCCUCUAAUAGGCUAGUCAACAGAACCCGCCCAUUGCAGCAAGCUAAACCCACCAUACAAUAAAAUUUUGACAACAUGACAUGACUAAUAUUAUACUACCCAGCCUAUAAAUGUAAAAUAGAACAAUUCAUAUAGUUCACAAAUCACAAUUCCAACCAGUCAUGCCAACACAUUAUCAUAAGCCAUCAAUUAGAAUCAUAAAUUACAACACAUCAAGUGGUCUCCAGUUACUCUAUUUUCAAAGCCAUAAUUCAAUUUUAAGACAAUUUAUAAAAUCUUUUCAUUUAAACACAUUUUGUUUAUAAAACCUAAAAAUUAACCAUUUAAACUCAUUUUUCAUAAAAUUCACAAAAUCGAAUAAAAAGACCACUUUAGAUAAUUAAAACGAUGAUAAGGUUACUCACAGUUCUAGGAGUUCGAUAUACUCCUAUUCUCGAUCUUCGGGCACAAUCUCUUUACCCUUGUUAGAGGGCUCACCACCUACACAUCAUACGUAACACGAAUUUCAAUAAAUUAUAUCAAUUUAUCAUAAACUAUUCCAAGCUUUAUAAAUCUAUAUGAAUGCACGAAAUGUGAUACAAAAUGUUCGAAUAAUCAUUUAAAUAUGGUAUUUGACCUAAUUUGCACUAUUCUCGGUGUAAUUGGCUAAAACCUCCAAUUUAACUCCAAAUCGAUUUCUUUCACUUUCUACACUCCAAUUAUACUUAAAAUACCUCAAUGACUGUGAAUAUGAUUCAAUUUAUCAGUCCGAACCAUAAAUCGCACAUGUCUAUACAUUAGGUAAAAAUUCAGAUUUUCAUGCCAAAAUUUCCCAUUAAAUUUCUAGCCUCACCAAUCAUUAAAUACCACCAAAAUAUCAUGAAAUAUCAUCAAUUUCAGCCUCAAUAUCCUCCCUAGAAAAUUCGGCCUCUUGUGGGUUUGUGAAGAACAAAGUGAUUCCUUGCUAGAUUUUCAUACUUUCCAUUACCAAACAACCAAAAACACUUAAUUAGCUUGAAAUCUAGCAAAAUCAAUGCUCAAAACCUCUCCUCUCAAAUUCGGCCAGCAUGGGUUCAUCAUGCAAACUUGAGUUCUAAGCAUGGAAAAUGAAAAAGAAAGCAUGGGUAGUGUAAAUCACAAGAUAAAAUCACAAAAUUUUACUUUUAUUAGCUUAAUUCCUUGAAAUCCCACACUUUUUCUUCAAUAUUCCCACCUAGGGUUUGUGUUCUUUCCUUUCCUCUUCACUUCUUGUUUUGGCAGGCCAUAUGAAGGAAAUAAGCUGAUUUUAUGCUAAUUUCAAAGCUAAAUAAUAAAUGGAUAUAAACUUGACACAUGUCACCAUUCCAUUGGUCCAUGUGUCAUACUUACCCAUUAAGCAAUCUCUCUCCACCAUUUAAAUUUUCUCAAUUAUCCAUGAUAAUAUUGGGUAAAAUCCAUGUGCUGUACAAGUGUUAGGUGGUGUAAAAUUACAAUUUUGCCCUUGAGGUGGCAAAAUGACUAUUUUACUUCUUUGCUCGAAAAAAUGUCGAAAUUAAAAAUUUUCACUUCUCAAACUCAAAUUAUGUUCUAAAUAGUAAAUCUUAGUAAAAAAUUUCAUCUAACUCUCACAUCUUAAUCUCGGAUGGCGAAAUGACCAUUUUACCCCUAGAUCAUGAAAAUUCCAAUUUGACUCCAUAUCGGUGCUCGAACUCCGAUUCACCAUUUUAAGUUAUUUUGGGAAUUUAAAAUUCUCAAUUUCAUCUUAAAAUCUCUAUUCGAUCUAGUUCGAGGCUUAAAUCAACUUUGUUGUACCUCUAGGUACAAUACCAACUUUUUGUAAAUUUUUCGAGAUUCUCCUAGCAUGCAAACAUGCUAUCUAUCACAUGUAUGUCAUGACAAGUAUUUUAUAAGGUGAAGCUUUAUAGCACUACCCCCCUUAAAAUAAAAUUUUGACCUCAAAAUUUCACUUACUGGAUUCCAAGGAAAGAUGUGGAUAUUGGUUUCUCAUCUGGCCCUCGACUUCCCACGUCAUCUCCUCCAUUCGAGCAUUCUUCCACAAUACUUUACCACUGGAAUGCUCUUGUUCCUCAACACUCGAUCCUUUUGAUCUAGAAUACGUACAAGCUGCACCUCGAAUUUCAAAUCUUCAUGCAACUCUAUCGGUGGUGUCUCUAGAAUAUGGGAGGGAUCGGGAACAUACUUUUUCAACAUCGAGACGUGGAAAACAUUAUGAAUCCGAUCUAACUCUAGGGGUAAGCCACUGACCCAAUCCUUUCAAUGAUACGAAAGGGUCCCAUGUAUCUCGGAUUGAGCUUUCCCCACUUCGCGAAUCGAAUCACACCUUUCCAAGGAGAAACCUUAAGAAAAACUUUAUCGUCCACUUCAAACUCCAAAUCUUUCCUUCGUUUAUCAGAAUAACUCUUUUGCCUAUCUUGAGCUGUCUUUAAUCGCUCUCGGAUAAUCUUAAUCUUGUCAUUUGUCAGAUCAAUCAAUCCCACAUUAACCAAUUUCAUUCCAACAGAGUGGAGUUCGGCACUUCCUUCCAUACAAAGCCUCGUAUGGCGCCAUCCCAAUACUAGAAUGAAAACUGUUAUUAUACGCAAACUCCACCAAUGGCAAGUGUCUGUCCCAACUCCCAAUAAAGUCAAUGACACAAUCCCGUAACAUAUCCUCCAAAGUCUGAAUAGUCCUUUCAGAUUGACCAUCUGUCUGCGAAUGAAAAGAGUACUAAAUCUCAAUUUAGUUCCGAGAGCUUCCUAAAAUUUUGACCAAAAUCGAGAAGUAAAUCGGGGGUCUCGAUCUGACACAAUAGAAACUGGAACUCCAUGUAAUCUCACAACCUCAUCUAUAUAAAGUUUAGCCAGUCUCUCAAUAGAAUACGUGCUAUGGAUAGCCAAGAAAUGGGCAGACUUAGUCAAUCUAUCCACAAUCACCCAAAUAGCAUCUUUCCCACUCUGUGUCAAGGGUAAACCCAAUACAAAGUCCAUAGUCACGUGUUCCCACUUUCAUUCUGGAAUAGGUAAAGGCUGAAAAGUACUUGAUGGUUUUUUAUGCUCCGCCUUGAUCUAUUGGCAUGUGAGACAUUUCGCUACAAACUCUGCUAUGUCUCGUUUCAUACCCGACCACCAAUAACUUUCCCUGAUAGUUCGAUACAUCUUCGUGCUUCCGGGAUGUAAAGCAUAGGCGAAAAAAUGAGCUUCCUCUAAAAUAGCUCGUCUCAACUGGUCAUCUUUAGGAACAUAAAUCUGGUCUCCAAGCAUCAAAGUACCAUCAUCGCUGAGUCUAAACUCACUAGUUUCUCCAUCUUGCAGCUUUUGAACUUCCUGUUUCAAUCAAUCAUCAGAUUUCUACAAUUCUCUGAUUUGAUUCAACAAUGAAGGUCUCACAACGAAACUAGAAAGUAGGGUUCCAUCCUUACCAUUAUUCAAUUGAAUCCCUAGAGACUUCAUCUCGAGUAACAUCAAAAAAUAAGAACUCUGAAGCGUUACUAACGACGAUGAGGAUUUACAACUUAAGGCAUCCGCUACAACAUUUGACUUUCCCAGAUGAUAAUCAAUCACUAAGUCAUAAUCCUUAAUCAAUUCUAGCCACCGUCUUUGUCUCAAACUAAGUUCUUUUUAGGUGAGCAAAUAUUUCAAACUUUUAUGGUUGGUAAAAAUCCGACAACGCUCACCAUAUAAGUAAUGCCUCCAAAUCUUCAAUGCAAAGACUACUGCUGCUAACUCCAAAUCAUGGGUAGGGUAAUUCGUCUCGUGCUUCUUCAACUGUCGAGAAGCAUAAGCUAUUACUUUUUCAUCAUGCAUCAAUACGCACCCUAAUCCCAACUUAAAGUCAUCACUGUAUACUACAAAUUCUUUCCCACAAACUGGAAGUGUUAAAACAAGAGCGGAGGUUAACCGGUUCUUUAGCUCAUGAAAUCGACUCUCACAAAAAUCAUCCCACUCAAACUUAACUCCUUUACGAGUCAAACGAGUCAAAGGAGCAGCUAUCAAUGAAAAUCCUUGAAUAAACCUCUGAUAAUAACCGGCUAAGCCAAGAAAACUACGAAUCUCUGUUACCGUUUUUGGUUGCUCCCAUUGCAAGAUUGCUUCAAUCUUCUUGGGAUAGACAUAAAUUCCAGCUUCGGACACCACAUGUCCCAAGAAAACCACUUCCUUCAACCAGAACUCACAUUUAGAGAACUUGGCAUAGAGUUGUCUCUCACGUAAAGUUUGCCACACAAUUCGCAAAUGGACAGCAUAUUCAUCAUCAUUCUUUGAAUAAACCAGGAUGUCAUCUAUGAAUACUAUCACAAACUUAUCUAAGUAUGGAUAGAACACCCUGUUCAUGAGAUCCAUAAAAGCUGCCGGGGCAUUAAUCAAAGCAAACGGCAUCACCAGAAACUCAAAAUGCCCAUAACGAGUCCUAAAAGCAAUCUUGGGUACAUCCUGCUCCUUAAUCUUCAAUUGAUAAUACCUAGACCUCCAAUCAAUCUUAGAAAACACUAUAGCACCUCGUAAUUGAUCAAAAAGAUCAUCGAUCCGUGGUAAAGGGUAUUUAUUGUUGAUGGUCACUUGGUUCAACUGACGAUAGUUAAUACAAAAUCGAAGAGUGCCAUCCUUCUUCUUUACAAAUAAGACUAGUGCUCCCCAAAGAGAAGUGCUAGGGCGAAUAAAAUCCUUAUCCACCAAAUCUUACAGUUGGACUUUUAGUUCCUUCAACUACGUCGAAGCCAUUCGAUAUAGAGGGAUAGAAAUAGGUGCGGUACCUAAAAGUAAAUCAAUAGGGAACUCAAGCUCUCGCUCAAGAGGUAGUCCCGGUAAUUCAUCAGGAAAUACAUCAGGAAACUCACUAACUAUUAGGACAUCCUCUAAUUUAGGUUCCCCCUUUGAAGUAUCAAUCACGUGAGCGAAAUAAGUCGGAUACCCUUUCGAUACUAGUUUCAAAGCCUUAAUGGUCAAGAUUACACAGGACAGUAAUACUCGGCAUUUCCUUGCAAAUAUAAUCUAUGCUCCCUUCGAAUUCUGAAGAACAACUUCUUUUCUAAAACAAUCCACAUUCGCCCGAUGUGCAGUUAACUAGUCCAUACCCAAUAUCAAAUCAAAAUCUUGGAUCUCUAGAGGAAUCAAGUCACCCCUAAAUUCUUCCUCACCAACCAUUACUCAAUAAUCUCUUUAACAACUGUUUCUAACUAGCUUCUCUCCUAAAAUAGUGUGAACUAUAAUUUCUUCCUCUAAUGGUGACAGGUUUCUAUCAGCAAUUGAUGCAAAUGUCAUACUCACAUAAGACCUAUCUGAGCCAGAACCUAUCAAAAUAUAAGCAUCUUUAUCAAAUAAAGACUUAGUACCUAUCACUGCUCCAGGUCAGACUCGUGCCUCAUCUUCUGUCACAGCGAAGACUCUUGUCGAAGUACGAGUCUGUGGUCUCGAAGGUGGAUAUGUCGAGGUGUUACUCUCUACACUAGACUGUAUAGCCACUCCCUACCUCGGUGGUAACCCAGAAAGAUCUCUCCUCUACAUAUCCGUAUGAGCUGGUGGAGAUGGAGUAAUUGUAGUAGCCCGUCCUAGCUGUGGGCACUCACUCUUAAUGUGGCCCGGCUGAUCACAAUCAUAACAUCGUACUGGUCCCCUACACUGCCCAACAUGAUUCCUCUCACACUUCCUGCAUCUAUCAGAACCUCCGAAACUCUUCCCAAAAUAAGUUAUCGCAGAUCUGCUGAAUCUUGGAGGCCUCUGCUGUGACUGUGAAAUAGAGGUCGAAGAGACAUCACUGAAACAGAGGUAGUACUCCCUAAAGUAGAUGAGUCUUUGUUUCUUUUUGGUGGUUCACUGAAAGAUAUACUCGGAUUUCCCCUCUUUACAAACUCGGUCCGAAUCCUCCUAUUUUCACUUGCAAGCUUCUCGGCCCUUAAAGCUAUCUGUACCGCCUCCUUAUGUGGCUCCUUACCAGUCAUUGUCAUCUGCUCUCUAAUCUUAUUACGGAGCCCUUCCUCAAAAUAAUUGGCCUGAUCUUGCUCAGAUUUCACCAGAUCUGGCACAUAUAAUAUCAACUCGUUAAAAUGAGCCUCGCACUCCUCUAUCGUUAAAUUCCCUUGUUUCAAACUCAAAAAUUCUCUCUUCUUUUCUUUCUGAUGGAAAUAAGUGAAAUAUUGACCAUCAAAUUCUCUUAGGAAGUUUGACCAAGUUAGAGGAGUAGUGGAAUGAGAUUUGACUGAAUUCCACCAUGUAUAGGCUCUCUUAUCUAGUAAUCUCGUGGCCACCAUCAACUUCAGGUCGUCAUCCAACCUCAUAUCAGACAGUGUCUCCGAAACCUGAUUAAUCCAAUCUUUGGCUACGGUUGCAUCCAAAUCGCCCGUAAAAGAAACGCAACCCAGUUGUCUAGCUUCCUUCCACUUCUUAGCAAUAGAUACAUCCUGUACUGACGGUGGAAUUGGAGGUAGGGGUGGUGGUACUGAAGGAGCAACUAGUGGUACUAUAGGAGGAGCCUGACCAACCUGAGCCUGGCCAGUAAUAGAGGUAAAGAAGGCUGCCAAUGCCUGGACUGCCUCAAGAGACAUGGCAGGAGUACUAGUAAGUGGUGGAGGAUGUGGAGGAUGUGGAGGAGUCUCUGCCUGCUUAGCAGCAGGUGUUGCCCGAAUGGUGGAUGCAGUCGAUUCUUCCACUACUGCAUCUAGCUGACGACGUUGGGAACAACCUCUUCCCCUCCCAGCCGAUCUAGUGAGAGGUGGACAUCCGUGUCGAGGAGGCAUGAUAAUCUAUAAGGGGAAACAAGCAAGUUUAGGCAACCUCAGGCUCUAUAUGCAAAUGCAUGCAUCCUAUUCAACCUCAUCCAACUUAACCUAGGGCCACACUAACACUGUAAAUUUUUAAAAUAGCUUUAAAACUAAAAACUCUAAUCUUUAAAACCAAAAGCUCUGAUACCAAUCGAAUUGUCACGACCCGGAACUCCCAUCGAGCCGGUGACAACCGCUGCGACGUCUCAAUAAACAUUCAUUACUCGAAAUGUCAACCGAAACCUUGCAAGGCUUAGCAUCAGUUUUUCUCGCUUCUCCCGUGAGUAUUAGUUACUAAAAUCAUGUUUUGAGAGAUUACAAACUAUUUCCAAUUCAAAACAAUAGAAAAAAAAACUUUUCCUUACAAGGGCAUUUUGGUCAUUUUUCCUCUAAGGUCUUGAAAUUUGCUAAAAAUGUAGUAAGCGAGUACAAAACACGUAAUUCAUAAUCAAAAGUAAGUUUAAACAUCUAAAACCUUCAUUUAAAAUGAAAUUACGAUUAUUUGAAUAAAAUAAAAAUAUUUAAUAAAAUAUUAUAUUUUCUUAUAAAACAAUAUUUAUAAAGUUAUCGGUAAAUAAUUUUUGUAGUGUAAAAGCUAAAUAAAUUCAUACAUACUGUAAUACAAUAAGCCAUAGUAUUUAACUUAAUUUACAAUAACUAGUGGGCCCCAAAAUAACCAAAAAUAAGAAAAGACUGUGAACCUACAAUUUGGAGGAUGCAACUCCAAUGGUAGCCCUCGAUGAAAAACAGCUAUCUACAGCCUAUUUUGAACCUAAAAUGGGUGGAAAUGAGAGUGGUGAGAUUUUACAAUCCUAGUGAGUAAACAAACACCAUUCAAAAUAUCUAAAAUUGAGUAAAAAGAGACGAUUAAAAUAUUCUAUCUCAAUAUGUAUUUCAUAACAUAAAUAUUCAUUUCAUUUAAAUAAUCAACAUGGCUUAUGAGUAUCUUAAAAGCUUGGCACCUGCCAAAAUCAUUCUCGGGAAUACCUUGGCAGAGGCAUUUAACCAAGUUCGCCGAGGCUGUUAAAAAGUUUUGUAUACACACAAACAUAUUUUUAGUUUGGAAAACACAACCGUUCCUUGGCGUUAGCGAAGUUCAUCAUCACGAGGUG
RNAcentral lists this long non-coding RNA (8140 nucleotides) under Theobroma cacao (cacao). Its description in RNAcentral is "long non-coding RNA (TCAC_LNC004814)". Lineage: Eukaryota; Viridiplantae; Streptophyta; Magnoliopsida; Malvales; Malvaceae. The record is from RNAcentral.